This 89-nucleotide transfer RNA is filed under the name Clostridiales bacterium. RNAcentral's name for it is "tRNA-Ser". It matches the Rfam family "tRNA". Rfam says of the family: Transfer RNA (tRNA) molecules are approximately 80 nucleotides in length. Their secondary structure includes four short double-helical elements and three loops (D, anti-codon, and T loops). The record is from RNAcentral. RNAcentral also lists the same sequence under 1 other name. Lineage: Bacteria; Bacillati; Bacillota; Clostridia; Eubacteriales.
GGAGGCGUAGCGAAGUGGUCAUAACGCGGUGGUCUUGAAAACCAUUUGACGGCAACGUCACGGGGGUUCGAAUCCCUCCGCCUCCGCCA